GGAAUAUUGGACAAUGGGGGAAACCCUGAUCCAGCAAUGCCGCGUGUGUGAAGAAGGCCUUCGGGUUGUAAAGCACUUUAGGCCGGGAAGAAAAAGCGUUACCUAAUACGUAACGCCUUGACGGUACCGGCGGAAUAAGCACCGGCUAACUCUGUGCCAGCAGCCGCGGUAAAACGUAGGAGGCAAGCGUUAUCCGGAGUUACUGGGCGUAAAGCGCGUGUAGGUGGAUUGGUAAGUUACUUAUGAAAGCUCCUGGCUAAACUAGGAGAGGUUGAGUGAUACUGCCAGUCUUGAAUAGAGGAGAGGUUGACGGAAUUCCGCGUGUAGUGGUGAAAUGCGUAGAGAUGCGGAAGAACACCAGUGGCGAAGGCGGUCAACUGGCCUCAUAUUGACACUCAGACGCGAAGGCAUGGGUAGCGAAC
Molecule: ribosomal RNA, 422 nt
Filed under: uncultured bacterium
Lineage: Bacteria
Description: bacterial SSU rRNA
Rfam family: Bacterial small subunit ribosomal RNA
Source: RNAcentral